UAAAGUGUAAACUGUCUGUGAUUGUGGCAACAUUGCUAAAAUCCGACGUGUCAUCAAACAGCUCUUCUACAUCAUCUGCUGCAUCACACUGAAUAACCUGCUGCUGCGCAAAGACAUGUGCUCCUGGAGUAAAGGCCUUCAGAUCAGGUAUAAUGUAUGUCAGUUAGAGGAGUGGGCUAUGGAUAAAGACCUUCAGGGCAGUGGAGCUCGUGAGAGUUUGGAGCCUCUCAUCCAGGCCGCUCAACUUCUGCAGAUCAAAAAGAAAAGCCAAGAUGAUGCUGAGGCCAUCUGUACCAUGUGUACGGCUCUCACAACACAACAGGUGAGUGUCUAGAUGCUUUCUGUACAGCCUCAGAUGUUUUUCAGUACUGAUGUGUGUCUGCUUCUCUCUGGGACGGAUUGUGAAAAUCUUCAGCUUGUACACACCAGUCAAUGAGUUUGAGGAGAGAGUGUCUAUAUCAUUCAUAAAAUCCAUACAGACUUUAUUAAAGGAUCGUAAGGAAUCUUCUCAGUUGCUGAUGGACCCCAAGAUCAUUUUUCCAGUGACUUUCCCCUUUAACCCUUCACCUGUAGCUCUGGAGACCAUUCAGAUACCCAGCAGCCUCAAUUUGAACUUCCUCACACGGGUUUAAAAAGAAGCCAGUGAUGUCAUACACAAACAUGAAAUAAUCAGCUAUAAAGACUAAUGGUAUGUUCGGAUUCAAACCAAAGCCUUUGGAUAUCAUAGCCAAACCAUCAGGACACUGUUCAAUAUUUCAAAUGAUUUCACUUUAGGAUUUUUAGAACUUAAGGCACAUUUUCACUCUCUGUCUGUCAUACAGUUAUGAGACAAAAUGGUUUAUAAAGGUUGAAAUGUUUUGUCAUUGUUUCCCAUUAUACUGUAUGUCUAGAAUGUAUAUGCUGCCUUUAUAUAAAUAAAAUUUUGGUAUUAAUUUAA
This is a non-coding RNA of Misgurnus anguillicaudatus (oriental weatherfish), 937 nucleotides long. Lineage: Eukaryota; Metazoa; Chordata; Actinopteri; Cypriniformes; Cobitidae. The record is from RefSeq and is a predicted model, not a curated record.